Molecule: non-coding RNA, 74 nt
Organism: Macrostomum lignano
Lineage: Eukaryota; Metazoa; Platyhelminthes; Macrostomidae
Source: Rfam
GGGGUUGUAGCCUAGUGGUUAGAGCGUCGGACUCACAACUUGAAGGUCGGGGGUUCGAUUCUCGAUCCACCUCG